GGACUGCAUGUUCAAUGCAUGAUCAUUUAAUUACAUUAUCUGAUUGGUCAGUUCUUGUGAUUGGUAAUUAAUAUCAUAUUUCUACAUGUGUUCGGACAUGCGGUCAUAAGCCUUUGUUUUGGGAGAGAGAAAAGAUCGUUUAUGAAUUUUAACUGAAAAAGUACUGCAGAAAGGGCUUACCAGACAUUUAUCGAAGAAUCCACAGAUUAUGAGCAAAAAAGCCAAAACAGAAAAGCAAAACAAGAAGAAAUGCUGCUCCACAAAACCUGGCAGAGUAUGUUCAAGAUUUAGUGGAGGAACAAAGUCAAGAGUUACCACCAAUAUACAGGCCACCAGUGCGGAGACGCAAGGCCAGACAAGAAGCUCCUGGAAAUCAGUUGGAUCGUGAAACGAAUACCCAACAGUCAUCUGUUCCAAGCCCAAAUGACAUUGCUGAUGCCUUGUUCGUAAAAAUCCAAAAUUCUGGCAUUCAACUGAUCAAAGACAAUACUGUAGUCCCAAUUAAUGACGUAACUGGUAUGCUGUCGUCAUCUAUACAACCAGAAAAUUCGACAACUACUGACUCCCAGGGACCAAUGUUAGCUGUUUUUCAACCACCAAUUUCCUCUGAUCCUAAUUUCAACACUCCUUCUGAUGGUGAGCUGCUAAACUCAAGUAACUCAAAUAAAGAAAAUCCAUACGCAUGUCAAAUGUUGAGACACACUAUACCUUUAGAUUACCAUGUCAGCAAUAAGGUGAAAUCUGAUGUUUGGUGUGACAAUUAUGUAAAUUUUGCUCUAUUGUUAUCUUCUAAUAUUGAUGAUGAAACAUGUAAUGAAUCAACA
This is a long non-coding RNA of Mytilus californianus (California mussel), 824 nucleotides long. RefSeq lists it as uncharacterized. NCBI's taxonomy places the organism in Eukaryota, Metazoa, Mollusca, Bivalvia, Mytilida, Mytilidae. The record is from RefSeq and is a predicted model, not a curated record. The transcript has 2 exons.